GGCCUCGUAACUCAGUUGGCUAGAGCGUUGGUUGUACUAAAGCCUUUUCCCUUACUGACGUGGGUUCGACUCCCACCAAGGCCG
Molecule: transfer RNA, 84 nt
Filed under: Schistocephalus solidus
Lineage: Eukaryota; Metazoa; Platyhelminthes; Cestoda; Diphyllobothriidea; Diphyllobothriidae
Rfam family: tRNA
About the family: Transfer RNA (tRNA) molecules are approximately 80 nucleotides in length. Their secondary structure includes four short double-helical elements and three loops (D, anti-codon, and T loops).
Source: Rfam by way of RNAcentral